Molecule: ribosomal RNA, 438 nt
Filed under: uncultured bacterium
Lineage: Bacteria
Description: bacterial SSU rRNA
Rfam family: Bacterial small subunit ribosomal RNA
Source: RNAcentral
CUACGGGAGGCAGCAGUGGGGAAUAUUGCACAAUGGGGGAAACCCUGAUGCAGCAACGCCGCGUGAGUGAUGAAGGUCUUCGGAUUGUAAAGCUCUGUCUUUUGGGACGAUUAUGACGGUACCAAAGGAGGAAGCCACGGCUAACUACGUGCCAGCAGCCGCGGUAAUACGUAGGUGGCAAGCGUUGUCCGGAUUUACUGGGCGUAAAGGGUGUGUAGGCGGAUGUUUAAGUGAGAUGUGAAAUACCCGGGCUUAACUUGGGUGCUGCAUUUCAAACUGGAUAUCUAGAGUGCAGGAGAGGAGAAUGGAAUUCCUAGUGUAGCGGUGAAAUGCGUAGAGAUUAGGAAGAACACCAGUGGCGAAGGCGAUUCUCUGGACUGUAACUGACGCUGAGGCACGAAAGCGUGGGUAGCAAACAGGAUUAGAUACCCCGGUAGU